AGAGAGAGAGAGAGAGAGAUGGAAAGAGAAUGAAAAGUAAUUAUAUUGAACAAAAAUCGUCUUAGGCCGUAUAUAAUAGAACUCGAAUGAGCUCAUAUUUUAACUAAGGCUACUGAAUCGCAGAAAGGGGAAACAAACUUCCCGCAUAAAAUUAUCUUCAGUCGAAAUAGUGAUCACCAUGGAUAAAAAUAUGCACUACCAUGACACAAAGUGUUAGACGUUUUGACUUUACUACACUUUCUCGUCAAC
This 249-nucleotide long non-coding RNA is filed under the name Lathyrus oleraceus (garden pea). Its description in RNAcentral is "Pisum sativum (pea) long non-coding RNA (PSAT_LNC038004)". The record is from RNAcentral. Lineage: Eukaryota; Viridiplantae; Streptophyta; Magnoliopsida; Fabales; Fabaceae.